Long non-coding RNA from Acanthochromis polyacanthus (spiny chromis), 4476 nucleotides. RefSeq lists it as uncharacterized. NCBI's taxonomy places the organism in Eukaryota, Metazoa, Chordata, Actinopteri, Pomacentridae. The transcript has 4 exons. The record is from RefSeq and is a predicted model, not a curated record.
CGCCGAAUUUUGAACCGAUUGCCAAACUGUUUGAUUUUUAGAAACGUCACACGUGUAGCUACUAUACAAAGUGCUCGGAUAUUUUUUUACAAUGCUGGUUUUGCCACUCAACACUUAGAUGCCGGACUUCUGUUCAGCCUAUGGAUCAAUGACGUAUAUAUAGAGCUAGACCGCUCACUGGCCGCUGAGAGGCGGUAAAUAGGAGCUGACUUCCGGUAGUGGCAAGAAGGGGAUUUCACAUUGGAACGCCAGCACGGUGGAUGUGGCUAAUAUCUGACCAUGGUGAAAUCGUGUGCUGCCAUCUCCUGCACCAAUCCAUUUGUAAUAUUUCCUUUCAUAAGUUUCCCAAGCAGUCCAAGGACAGCACACUGAGAGAGCAAUGGAUACAGGCCAUCAGUAGAGAAGCGGUGGGGACCAAGAGGAGAUGAUCAUAAUUAUGUAUGCAGCAACCAUUUCAGGGAGGAGGACUUCAUCCUCUCAAAACAUGUGCAACACAAGCUUCUCAGGCCAGGGGCUGUACCAUCCCUCAAUCUGGGGAAACCAGAGAAAAAGAUCGCAGUGAGGACAACCCAAACCAGCCAGGCAGCAGUGGCAUUGGUUCCAAUAUUUUUUAGAGCCCAGGUAAGUAAAACACUAAUGCUGCAGAAAGUAUGAAACAGUUGUUAUUGACACAAUCACUGCAUCAGCAUUCAGCACUCAUUAUUGUGUGGUGGUCUCUGUCUCUGUCUGUGAGGGCUAAACAACGCUGUGAUUGCCGUGAAAACGUGCCUAGGACAGAGAUUUUAUUGUCUGCUAACAGUAAAAGCCAUAACAUAACACAUAUUGUCCCAUCACUGAUGACAAGCAGGCCUUGAAGUUGGUGUAUUUACACAGGAUCAAAUAGCGCGCCACAGCUUCUUACCACUACCGGAAGUCAGCGCCGAUUUACCAUGGCGCUGCUGUUGUUCGCCGAGCAGUGAGCGGUCUAGCUCUAUAUAUACGUCAUUGGUAUGGAUGCUCUAAUGAGCGCUGUAAGGGAACAAGAGCAUGUGGGAUUACUUUUCACAUGUAAGAUGUAUGUAAGAAAUAAUAUAUUGUUAGCAGGUUGUCAUAGCUAGAGUGAAAUAAACGCCGAGAAGACGGAUAGAACCCCUCAGCUCCGUGUCUGGCUUCUACUACCCAUGAUCUAACCAGCUCUCUGCAUCAUCCUGUGUAUUACACAGCUGCUUACCGGUGAAAUAACUAAUCUGAGACAAUUUUUUGUUUAAAAUUCGAUGUUAUGAAUCUAGCGUUCCUAGCAACUUACUGCAGUAAUUGGUGGGUUAGAAUACAGCGUCUGAUUGAUCUAAUAGCCCUGAUUUAUGAUGGAACUAUUUUUGUUGUAGACAAUUCUUUAUCUCUAGCUACUUUUCUCACAUGUUUAAGGUUUCCGAAAGAACGUGAUUUAUACACGUGAUAUAAUAGUAAUAAUAACAGUAAUAAUAAUGAUAAAAAUAAUAGUAAUAAUAGCAGUAAUAAUAGUAAUAAUUGAUAUAAUAUUAAGAGUAGUAAUAAUAAUAAUUAUUAUUAUUAACAGUAGUAAUAAUAGCAGUAUGGCAAAACCUGCAUUGUAAAAAAAUAUCCGAGCACCUUGUAUAGUAGCUACACGUGUGACGUUUCUAAAAAUCAAACAGUUUGGCAAUCGGUUCAAAAUUUGGCGAAUAAUUCCACUUUUAGAUUCAGCAGUACCUCUCUCCUCCAUAGAUGUCUAUGCACCGCUGCCUCGGCUGGCCCCGGUCCAAGAUGGCGGCGCUGCAGGCACAUCGCUCGAGUGGGCAGCCGCAGUCAAUGAGGCGUCUACGUAUAUAUGUCUAUGAGGACAUGUACACGAUGGGGCUGCAUAGUGGAUAGGUGAUUAGCGCUUUCGCCUUGCAGCAAGAAGAUCCCCGGUUCAAAUCCCGGGGUGGGUCUUUCUGCAUGGAGGUUGCAUGUUCUCCCUGUGCAUGUAUGGGUUUUCUCCGGGCACUCCGGCUUCCUCCCACAGUCCAAAAAUAUGCUGAGGUUAAUUGGUUACUCUAAAUUGUCCAUAGGUUUGAAUGCGAGAGUGAUUGUUCGUCUAUAUAUGUGGCCCUGCGACAGACUGGUGACCUGUCCAGGGUGUCCCCUGCCUUCACCUGAGUCAGCUGGGAUAGACUCCCCGCGAGGAAAAAGCGGUGUAUAGAGUAGGGAUGGGAAUUUGGACUAAUUUCCGAACCGACUAGUCGCUAAUUUUAUUGGCGACUAGUCGGUUCGGAAAACUUUCAAUUUAACCCUUUAAGCGCCAAAGUCGCAAUAUUGCGACAAGCAACAUUGCUGAACAUAACAAGCCAUAGCUUCAAAUAUACUGCCUCGUGUGCCUCAUGUACUGUACACCAGGAGAUGGCGGACAUCUGGAACUUUAAUCGGAGCAUCAGUUGUGGGCGUGUUUUCAUUUAAAGUUUUGGAAUUUAGAGUUUGAAAACCGAGGAGACGAGACUUGCCGUCGGAGUGUAUCAGAGCGCAAGACGGCACAUUUUAGAGUGAGAAAACUCACCAUACCGAGAGGUCUGGUCAACGCUGACAAAGUACUUUGUCAAGUAAUGGCUUACUCAUAUUCUGAAGUGGAAUAUUCACCCUCUGAUGAAGAUGUUCAGUCGUCCACUAAGACAGAAAGUACCGCUGCGUCUGUGCGUAACGGCAGCGGGUCGGUGUGCCAUGACAGUCCACGAGCAGCACAUACUGGAGCCGAUGCUUUGCUUCGGGGUGGUGGGUGUAGCUGGAGUGUUCAAAACACAGCUAAUGAUGAGGGGGAUAGCGGGGGUUGAAAAAAGAGACAAGCAUAUGCUACUGGCAGGAUCAACCAGGUAGCCCAGACGGGACGAGCGUGCGGCGCACGCCCGAGCAUAGAGCUGCAUGGCAGCGCCCAGUCGGGGUGGGGGGGCACACUAGCGUUUAACCGACUAGUAAAAUACUAAACGUUUAAUAAAUGAGUAGGCGGUUAAACGAUUAAACGACUAGUCGCGCACAUCCCUAGUAUAGAGAAUGGACGGAUGGAUGUAGGCGAUGUUACACCUGCUGCUCGGUCUCUGGCUUUCUGUCAGAUUCAAAGUAAAAGAAGAGUUGAAGAAAGCUGAGUGCGGCGAGUCAAGACACACAGGAGGCGAUACAGUAGUAUCAAGCUUAAAACAAGAGGAUACGAACUAGACAGCAUAUGAGGGUAAUACAAGUUCACUACAGUUAUCUUAUAUCAGUCCCGUGUCCAAUUCUGUAAUGGCUACAAUUUACUGCUAUUAGGUAUUAAAAUAUGUAUGCUGUGUAUGUGUUUCAGAUGGCUGUCUUAUGUGCCAUAAGACAGGCACCCCAUCUGAGCGGAUUCUUCCUCUUUGGGUCUCGGUGUGUUCAUUGCUCAUAAAUAAUCCCCUUAUUAGGAUGUACCUGAAGCAGCAGCACAUGAUGCAGAGGCACAAGGUGUAGAGGAGGGCAGAGAUGUACGGGAUGCACUGAUGCAUGAUUUGUCAUACAAAAGUUUAAAGUUAUUCUGCUUGUUAUACUGCAAUUUUUCUGUCUCUGGACCGCUAUUGUUCUGUUGAAUGUAAUUCUGAUAAAUUUUUGUACCUUUUGCAGAUGUGUCUAUGCAAUUCUUAAUUUGUGAAGGUUAGCAAGAUUAUAUCAGAAAUUAAAUCCCAAAAUAUUAAAACAGCUGUUUUAAGAAUAUUCCAGUUUGAUCAAUCAGUAUUGCUUUGGUGUAAUUUGAUCAACGGAAAUAUGAACCAUAAAGUAGCUUGUGUUAAAACAUGUUAAAUCUCAUUAAACACAAAUACAUUAUUCAGGAAUGAAGAAUUGUUUCAUUCAUACUGUGGCAAGAUGCAGGAUUGCACUCCCUGCCACUAGGGGUAGUGUGACCAUCAAUUAGUGGCAGAGUAUAAAGGCAUGUGGUUGGCCCCUCUGUCUUCCUCUCUUCCUCUUCCUCCUUUACGGAGCCGGCAAGCCUCCGUGUGAGCGAGUGUGGAAAUUGUGCUGUGCAGUGUUGGCGUUUUUAAUCAGUGCAGCGUGGCAUACCUGAGGACUGGACUGUGGAGCUCGUGGGUGCGGCACAUUCCCGUGGCCAUCACCAGCUGAGCAUGGGCUGCAGGCCUCCUCUGUUGCUGUCCAACCAGUCAGCCUCACUUGGCAAAUAUAUUGAAUUACUCAACCUUUUCCUUCCUUUUAUUCCCCUCUAUUUGCAGGUCAGUGACUUCUUGUCCGGCCGCUCCCCCCUCACCCUGGCACUGCUGUCUUGGCUGUCUCUUUUUUGAGUGGCGUUGUCUCCUCGCCAGUGCUGCUGCUGUUAGGGCAGGCUGGGGAUUGGCUGGGGGCAGCGUGUGUGCCAGACACCGCCGCUGUGGAGAUUCUGGCUCUGUUUCUUAAAGUUGCAGACGUUAUUUGCUUUGUUUGCGGUCCCUUUUUUUCUGUUAGCUUUUCAUUUGAGUCCCUGUUUUGUGUAGUUUAUAUUUGGAUUUG